CCUUCCGGGGAGCAGCAGUAGGGAAUCUUCCACAAUGGGCGCAAGCCUGAUGGAGCAACACCGCGUGAGUGAAGAAGGGUUUCGGCUCGUAAAGCUCUGUUGUUGGAGAAGAACGUGCGUGAGAGUAACUGUUCACGCAGUGACGGUAUCCAACCAGAAAGUCACGGCUAACUACGUGCCAGCAGCCGCGGUAAUACGUAGGUGGCAAGCGUUAUCCGGAUUUAUUGGGCGUAAAGCGAGCGCAGGCGGUUGCUUAGGUCUGAUGUGAAAGCCUUCGGCUUAACCGAAGAAGGGCAUCGGAAACCGGGCGACUUGAGUGCAGAAGAGGACAGUGGAACUCCAUGUGUAGCGGUGGAAUGCGUAGAUAUAUGGAAGAACACCAGUGGCGAAGGCGGCUGUCUGGUCUGCAACUGACGCUGAGGCUCGAAAGCAUGGGUAGCGAACAGGAUUAGAUACCCUGGUAGUCCAUGCCGUAAACGAUGAGUGCUAGGUGUUGGAGGGUUUCCGCCCUUCAGUGCCGGAGCUAACGCAUUAAGCACUCCGCCUGGAGUCACCAA
RNAcentral lists this ribosomal RNA (557 nucleotides) under Limosilactobacillus reuteri. RNAcentral's name for it is "bacterial SSU rRNA". It matches the Rfam family "Bacterial small subunit ribosomal RNA", at positions 337 to 885 of the family's 1533-position model. Lineage: Bacteria; Bacillati; Bacillota; Bacilli; Lactobacillales; Lactobacillaceae. The record is from RNAcentral.